GAUGAAGAACGCAGCGAAAUGCGAUAAGUAAUGUGAAUUGCAGAAUUCAGUGAAUCAUCGAAUCUUUGAACGCAUCUUGCGCUCCUUGGUAUUCCUUGGAGCAUGCCUGUUUGAGUAUCAUGAGCAAAUCUCAAAGUCAAUUCCUUUUGUUGAUUCAAUUGGUUUUGCUUUGGACUUGGAGGCCUUGCAGAUUUCACAGUCUGCUCCUCUUAAAUGCAUUAGCUGGAUCUCAGUAAUUAUGCUUGGUUCCACUCGGCGUGAUAAGUAUCACUCGCUGAGGACACUGUUAAAAAGGUGGCCAGGAAAAUACUGAUUGAACCGCUUCUAACGGUCUAUUAAGUUAGACAAUUACCCUUAAGUUUGAUCUCAAAUCAGGUAGGACUACCCGCUGAACUUAAGCAUAUCCUAAGCGGAGGA
Molecule: unclassified non-coding RNA, 417 nt
Filed under: soil metagenome
Description: partial contains 5.8S ribosomal RNA, internal transcribed spacer 2, and large subunit ribosomal RNA
Rfam family: 5.8S ribosomal RNA (bases 1-120)
Source: RNAcentral